RNAcentral lists this ribosomal RNA (322 nucleotides) under uncultured eukaryote. RNAcentral's name for it is "partial 18S ribosomal RNA". It matches the Rfam family "Eukaryotic small subunit ribosomal RNA", at positions 1470 to 1796 of the family's 1831-position model. The record is from RNAcentral.
CCCUUAGAUGUUCUGGGCCGCACGCGUGCUACACUGAGUGGAUCAGCGGGUCAGGUUGCGCGAAAGUGUUUCCUAAUCUUUAAAUCCGCUCGUGAUGGGGAUUGACGGUUGCAAUUUUCCGUCAUGAACGAGGAAUACCUUGUAAGCGCGGGUCAUCAUCCCGCGCUGAAUACGUCCCUGCCCUUUGUACACACCGCCCGUCGCUCCUACCGAUUGAGUGGUCCGGUGAGGCUUUGGGAUCUGAACGGAAAGAGCGUUUCGCUGUUUCUGCCCGGAAAACUCAGUCGAACCUUAUCAUUUAGAGGAAGGAGAAGUCGUAACA